Molecule: non-coding RNA, 23 nt
Filed under: Mus musculus (house mouse)
Lineage: Eukaryota; Metazoa; Chordata; Mammalia; Rodentia; Muridae
Also listed under: 1 other name
Source: RNAcentral
UAGCUGACACUUGGAAAGCUGAC